AUCAGUAAGCGGUGGAAAGCAAACUAAACAGGAUUCUCUUAGUAACUGCGAGUGAACAGAGAUUAGCCCAACAUCGAAGCCACCAUGCAUUUGUAUGGGAGGCAAUGUGAUGUUUUGGUGUUUGAACGCACUGUCUGGCUAACUUGAAGUCCAUAUUUGACUGUGGCUUGUAUUUAUACACCCAGAGAUGGUGAUAGGCCCGUUCAGGUUGGUAUUCUGGCAUGACAGUUCAGUGUGUAAUCAUUCAUCAUAGAGUCGGAUUGCUUGAGAGUGCAGUCCAAAAUGGGUGGUAAACUCCAUCUAAGGCUAAAUACCUGUACGAGUCCGAUAGUCAACAAGUACCGUGAGGGAAAGUUGAAAAGUACUCUGAAGAGAGAGUAAAUAGUACGUGAAACCACAUGGAGGUUAAACAAAUAGAGUCAAGCUGCUUGCAUCAUAUCAUUGCAAUAUGCGCAUUUUGUUGCAUGACAUUUGCCGGGACCUGGCGUGUGAUUCUGUCUACUUGUAGGCAUUUGAACAUGUGUUUGUUGUUGAAAGGUCUCGGUGAGUGUCUGCGCUUAUUGUUCAUGAUGGGUGCUAAUGCCAUAGUCGGUUGUACUACCAGUGCGCAGUAAUCGGCGAUUGUGCGGGCUGACUUAUUGUCGUUCGUGCAAUCAGUGAAACAGUUGGCAACAGUGUGUGCUUGCAUUCGCUUUUGUCAAAGAAGGCCACGGCCUGUUGAUUACUGUGAACAUUGUGAGAGUCGACCGUUCAUAUGUGCUCAUAUAAUUUGUGGUAGUAAGUCGACUUGUCGACUACUUCCAUAAAUGAGCUUAUGAGCUAUGGUAUUGUGGUAGACUUUCUAUUAU
Molecule: ribosomal RNA, 848 nt
Filed under: Neobenedenia girellae
Lineage: Eukaryota; Metazoa; Platyhelminthes; Monogenea; Capsalidea; Capsalidae
Description: LSU rRNA
Rfam family: Eukaryotic large subunit ribosomal RNA
Source: RNAcentral